UCCUGCGGUUCUCUGGCACAUACAGCCCACGGGCUAAGCACACGACAGAAAGAAGCCUUCAGACAGCAUCACGGGUUUUGCAGCGGAGCAGAACAUCCCAGGAUCGUCUGUUGCUCCCCCAACCCCCCGGACAGAUACCCCCUUCUUCAUGCCUUUACGUGGGUAAAGAAAGAAGGGAUAGCAAGGACGGCAGCCAGAGCAGCCCUGGAGGUUCUCCCAGAGUCUGGAAGCUGAACCCUAGAACUGAUGCCAGCCCCAACCUAGCCCAAGCUUGCCAUGCCUCGUCAUAUACGGCACAUCGUGCCUCUGUGUCCAACUUUGCGGUUGGCUCAGCUGCCAGCAUUGUCUCCUUACCACCUCCCAGUCCUUGCCUGAGGUCCCGGAAUGCCUAGCGGCCAAGUCCAAACAUUAUGACCACAGCUCAUCACCAACUUCCCGAGAGUGGCCAACUAAGACAUCACGGGUUACUGGUUCUCUGAGGGUCUCAAAGUCCUGAUCGAUUGGUGCAAAUCAACCAAGACCCCAAGACUGAAGCCUUAAUACAGAUCAUCUGGAGAUCGUGGAGGUUCUGAUUUGGCAGAUCUGGGGUGGGGCCUGGACACCGUAUUUCUAACAAGCUUCUCUGGUGCUGAUGCGCUGGGCUGCAGCCCACGCCCCGAGCAGGACUCAUCUGGAGACACCAAGUUCACCGGUUGAGUAUUUAGUAUGCUUCAAAUGCGGGUCAUGUUCUGUGAAGCUUUAGCCAAUCUUAAACACAAAUCUGUAUUUUUCAUUGUGUAGAAUGCUGUUUUCAUGGUUUUGUUGCUAAGAUGGUUGCAUUUAUAACUCCAUUGGGAAACCCCUCAUCCCUGUCUUGCCUAGAACAGAACACCAAUCUGAGUUUUCUCCAAGAGACCGUAUCUGCCCUUGGCCCUCAUUCCCUCUUGGGCUAUAGAUGCUGAGUGGAUGAACAAUGUUCCCUUCUGCAGCCUUUCUAGGACUUCUCUUCUAGACUGGAUGUCAAAAUAAUCCCAGUUCCACAUUCAAAUGGAACGUACCGGAGAAUUGGAUAAGACAAUGACACUUCCUUCUGCUUGAGUGUGUGCCAAUGCAGGGGAUUCAGAAUAGCGCUCACUACAUUUGCAGCCAACCCCACGCCGGCCACACCUUGCCUUGGUGGGGACACCACAGUGGUCCCAGCCUCCCGCUGCUGGAUCCUGCCUCCCUCCCUGGCGUCUGGUGUCUCUAGGAUGGGAAUUGUGUUAGCCCAUGUCUGUGGCUCUGGUACCCAGCUCACUAGGGGCCUAAAAAAAACGUGUGCAUUAAACGUAUCCCUCUCCAAAGGCUUUUACUUUAUCUCCCUGCCUGAGAGGAUAAGAGACCUGACUAAGGCCCCUCAGCCAGUGAUUUCGUGAAACAGCUUAUAAACUCAAGCAGAAGGAGACCUCAUCCAGCCUGACGAGUCGAUAAGCGGAGGCCGGGAAGGGCUGGGGAUUUGGCCAGGACUCUACAGUUAAGUCUGAGAAUAGCUGGGCCUAGAUUCUGGCUGUGCUGACAUAGGUCUCUGCCCACGCCACCUUUGGGAUUCUAUUUGUUUCCACUAAAAAAUCAAGAGGAUGGAGGAGGAAGACAAUCUUCCAAGCUCUAUAAAGAGAGAAGGGGGCUGA
Long non-coding RNA from Lynx canadensis (Canada lynx), 1646 nucleotides. RefSeq lists it as uncharacterized. The transcript is spliced from 2 exons. Lineage: Eukaryota; Metazoa; Chordata; Mammalia; Carnivora; Felidae. The record is from RefSeq and is a predicted model, not a curated record.